GAGUUUGAUCCUGGCUCAGAAUGAACGUUGGCGGCGUGGAUUAGGCAUGCAAGUCGGUCGCUCCGCAAGGGGCGAGGCGCAAGGGUGAGUAAGACGACGGCAACCAACCCCAGGGAUGGGCAUAGCCCGCCGAAAGGCGGGGUAAUUCUCAGCGAAGUCGCGGCGGAGACCUCUCCGCUCGACCAAAGGGUGUGAUUCCGCCCUGGGACGGGCCGUCGUGGCAUCAGGUUGUUGGCGGGGUAACGGCCCACCAAGCCGAAGACGCCUACCGGGUGUGAGAGCAUGGCCCGGCACACUGGGACUGAGACACUGCCCAGACGCCUACGGGUGGCUGCAGUCGAGAAUCUUCGGCAAUGGGCGAAAGCCUGACCGAGCGACGCCGCGUGGGGGACGAAGGCCUUCGGGUUGUAAACCCCUGUCGAGGUGAAGCAAAGGCCCGUGAAGAGCGGGACUUGAGCGACGCCUGGAGGAAGCACGGGCUAAGUUCGUGCCAGCAGCCGCGGUAAGACGAACCGUGCGAACGUUAUUCGGAUUCACUGGGCUUAAAGCGCGUGUAGGCGGGCCGAUACGUCCGUGGCUGAAAGCCCCCGGCUCAACCGGGGAAGUGGCCCAGAUACGGUCGGCCUGGAGGGGCAUAGGGGGAGCUGGAACUUCCGGUGGAGCGGUGAAAUGCGUUGAGAUCGGAAGGAACGCCCGUGGCGAAAGCGAGCUCCUGGAUGCCUUCUGACGCUGAGACGCGAAAGGCAGGGGAGCGAACGGGAUUAGAUACCCCGGUAGUCCUGGCCGUAAACGAUGAGCACUGGGUAGGAGGCUCGCCGAUGGGCGUCCUGCCGCAGCGAAAGCGUGAAGUGCUCCGCCUGGGGAGUAUGGCCGCAAGGCUGAAACUCAAAGGAAUUGACGGGGGCUCACACAAGCGGUGGAGCAUGUGGCUUAAUUCGAGGCUACGCGAAGAACCUUAUCCCAGGCUUGACAUGCGCGGAUUAGCCGGCGGAAACGUCGGUGAGGCCUUCGGGUACAACGCGUGCAGGUGCUGCAUGGCUGUCGUCAGCUCGUGCCGUGAGGUGUUGGGUUAAGUCCCGUAACGAGCGAAACCCCUGCGGCCAGUUGCCAACACGUAAUGGUGGGGACUCUGGCCGGACCGCCGGCGUUAAGCCGGAGGAAGGCGGGGACGACGUCAAGUCAUCAUGGCCCUUAUGCCUGGGGCUGCACACGUGCUACAAUGGGGCGGACAAAGCGUCGCAAUGCCGCGAGGCCGAGCUAAUCGCAGAAACCGCCCCCCAGUUCGGAUUGUGGGCUGCAACCCGCCCACAUGAAGCCGGAAUCGCUAGUAAUCGCGGAUCAGCAGUGCCGCGGUGAAUGGGUUCCUGAGCCUUGUACACACCGCCCGUCAAGCCACCAAAGGGGGGGGCACCCGAAGUCGCCGAAGCCGCGAGGCAGGCGCCGAAGGUGAGACUCCUGAUGGGGACUAAGUCGUAACAAGGUAACC
Molecule: ribosomal RNA, 1486 nt
Filed under: uncultured Planctomycetota bacterium
Lineage: Bacteria; Pseudomonadati; Planctomycetota
Description: bacterial SSU rRNA
Rfam family: Bacterial small subunit ribosomal RNA
Source: RNAcentral